AGUGAACGCUGGCGGCGUGCCUAAUACAUGCAAGUCGAACGGAGUGGCGCACGGGUGAGUAAUAUAUAGCUAAUUUGCCCCUUGCUGGAGGUCAACAGUUAGAAAUGACUGCUAAUACUCCAUAGCAAGGGAUGAGACUAUAUCGUAUCAGCUAGUCGGUGGGGUAACGGCCUACCGAGGCUAUGACGCGUAACUGGUCUGAGAGGAUGAUCAGUAACAUUGGAACUGAGACACCGUCCAAACUCCUACGAGAGGCAGCAGUAGGGAAUAUUGCACAAUGGGGGAGACCGUGAAGGGGCAACGCGGCGUAGAGUAUGACACUUUGCGGAGCGUAAACUCCUUUUGUUAAGGAAGCGGUACCUAACGAAUAAGCACCGGCUAACUCCGUGCCAGCCGCCGCGGUAAUAC
Molecule: ribosomal RNA, 408 nt
Filed under: uncultured bacterium
Lineage: Bacteria
Description: partial 16S ribosomal RNA
Rfam family: Bacterial small subunit ribosomal RNA
Source: RNAcentral